This 588-nucleotide long non-coding RNA is filed under the name Gallus gallus (chicken). Its description in RNAcentral is "lncRNA (ENSGALG00010018622.1)". The record is from RNAcentral. Lineage: Eukaryota; Metazoa; Chordata; Aves; Galliformes; Phasianidae.
CAGUUCUGGUCAAGCUCCCUGUGUCGGCACCAGGGGUGGAGGCACGCAGCCUCUGGCUCCAUGGGCUGGCAUGCAGCUGUGAGCUGAUGGCUCCAACUGUGCUGUUAUCGCGCUUGCCUUUCAGUGGGAAAGGCAGAAAUCGCUCUCACGUCUCUCUUAAUACGCCGUCUCCUGGACUUUUCACUUCCAUUAGGUGUCAUGCACUCCCUUUGGUUCUCUCCGUGCAGGGAUGGUGAUGAAACAGAGCCAGUGCAGCUGAGAAAUUGGAGGACGGGUGCAGGUCAUGUAAAGCCUCCGGAAAGCACUAACUUGCUAGAGGAGUCCACCAGCAGCAGAGUUUUAGAUGGCACCAGGAAUGAGGAAACUUGGCUAUUUUCAUCCUAGCUGCCUCCAUCUCCUAAUGACACCUGCAGAGCUUCAGACUUUUUUUUCCUUUUGCCAAAUCCUGCCUGGCUCACCACGGAGCCAUGGCCAAUGAGGACACAUAAAAUAUUACAAUAUUAGUAACUUGUUUGAACGUUGCUAUGAAACAGGUCAGAAGGGCCAGCGUGAGGCCCUGUUUGUGCAGUCACCCGCAGAGGAAAAGAG